CCGACUUCAAUUACAUCGACGAAUAAUACAACGUAGAUCGACGAAAAAAUAGUCGAGUAACUACGCGUUAUCAAAGAUUACUCAAAAAGUAGUUAUCAGAUCUCGAUAAAAUUUAUAUGUACACCCAGUAAAAAGUUAUUGCGGAUUUUCGAGAGUUUCCCUCGAUUUGUCUGGGAUCCCAUCAUCAGAUCCUGGUUUCCUUAUC
This 205-nucleotide unclassified non-coding RNA is filed under the name Melitaea cinxia (Glanville fritillary). RNAcentral describes it as "misc RNA ENSMCXG00005018359.1". The record is from RNAcentral. Lineage: Eukaryota; Metazoa; Arthropoda; Insecta; Lepidoptera; Nymphalidae.